RNAcentral lists this ribosomal RNA (373 nucleotides) under uncultured bacterium. RNAcentral describes it as "bacterial SSU rRNA". It matches the Rfam family "Bacterial small subunit ribosomal RNA", at positions 524 to 896 of the family's 1533-position model. The record is from RNAcentral.
UACAGAGAGUGCAAACGUUGUUCGGAAUUACUGGGCUUAAAGCGCGCGUAGGCGGCAUCGUAAGUGUCUGGUGAAAUCCCACGGCUCACCCGUGGAACUGCCGGGCAUACUGCGGUGCUAGAGUGUGGUAGGGGAGAGCGGAACUCCUGGUGGAGCGGUGAAAUGCGUAGAUAUCAGGAGGAACACCGGUGGCGAAGGCGGCUCUCUGGUCCAUAACUGACGCUGAGGUGCGAAAGCUAGGGGAGCAAACGGGAUUAGAUACCCCGGUAGUCCUAGCUGUAAACGAUGGGCACUAGCUUGGGGUCUCCCUGUGUGAUCCCAGGUGAAGCAAAAGUGAUAAGUGCCCCGCCUGGGGAGUAUGGUCGCAAGGCUG